This 81-nucleotide non-coding RNA is filed under the name marine eukaryotic metagenome. Its description in RNAcentral is "Cyclic di-GMP-I riboswitch". It matches the Rfam family "c-di-GMP-I-GGC riboswitch aptamer". The record is from RNAcentral.
CCGACAAAGGUAAACCAUGGGUAACCAUGGGACACAAAGCCACGGGUCCUGAAUAAAAAAAAGGAUAGCCGGGUUGCCGAA